UGAGGUUUAAGCAAAAAGGAAAUCUAAGAUAGGUUAUGAUACAAGACUUUGAUAUCAAAAGAGGAAAUAAUACCAAGUUCUUAUUGUUUUUCAAAUGCACUUGUUAUAUUAACUGACAAUAUGCAUUUUAAACAAAACAAUUUAGAAACAAUAUCAACAUUGUUUGAGUGACAUUGAGGUUUAAGCAAAAAGGAAAUCUAAGAUAGGUUAUGAUACAAGACUUUGAUAUCAAAAGAGGAAAUAAUACCAAGUUCUUAUUGUUUUUCAAUAGUUUGUGAGUUCACAGAAGCUUACCGUCAUUUAGUAGUUUGAAUUUGUAGCUGUGAAACUAUCAUGAACAGAAAGGAGUAAAAUAUGGGGACAUAAUCUAACGAGUCAAAAUAGGGUUGAUGUUUUGCAAUGGC
RNAcentral lists this long non-coding RNA (404 nucleotides) under Nicotiana benthamiana. RNAcentral describes it as "long non-coding RNA (NBEN_LNC029239)". Lineage: Eukaryota; Viridiplantae; Streptophyta; Magnoliopsida; Solanales; Solanaceae. The record is from RNAcentral.